RNAcentral lists this long non-coding RNA (2722 nucleotides) under Solanum lycopersicum (tomato). Its description in RNAcentral is "long non-coding RNA (SLYC_LNC000419)". Lineage: Eukaryota; Viridiplantae; Streptophyta; Magnoliopsida; Solanales; Solanaceae. The record is from RNAcentral.
UAGGAACUCCACGCUCACAACCCAAAAGGCUUGAUUAGCUUGUACUUCUAAUGUCUCCUAUCUUUGAUGUAGUAAGUAUGGACCCAUACAGUCCGUAACUUAUCCUAUCUCUUAGCCAAAUCCCACAGAUAGUUGAGUAUUACUUCUUUGUUCCACACAUACACAUCUGUAAUAUCCAGGCCUCCAACAACUUUUGGUUAACAAAUUGUAUCCCAUGCUACAAGAGCUUUCCCUUUAGUUUGUGUAUCACCAUUCCAUAGGAAUCUCUUGCAUAUCGCUUCUACCUACUGCAACACUUUUUGGGGAGUAAGAAUAUUUGCGCCCAGAAUGCUUGAAUGGAAGUUAGCAAAGUUUGUGCCAGAUAAAGCCUCUCUGCAUAAGAUAGAAAUUUCGUAGUCCAUGUGUUUUUUCUUCCUAGCGUCCUGUCUAGAAGUGGUUGACAUUGGCUUAUUGACAAUUUUUGGAGCUUAGAGGGACUCCAAGAUAUCUAAAUGGUAAAUUUCCUUUUACGAAGCCUGUAUGUUGCAAUAUCAAAUGUUGUUCUUGUUCUGACACUCCACCCAAAUAUACACAACUUUUGGCCUGAUUUGCUAUUAAACCUGAUGCUUGUGAAAAUUGCUGAAAGCAUUCUUACAAUAGGACAGUUGAUUGGGCAUCUCCUCUGCUAAACAAAAGAAGAUCAUCAGCAAAACUCAAUUGUAUGAUCUGUUGUUUAUGGCAUCUUCGAUGAUUUGAUUCUGAGCUUUCCUUCCUUUCAUACUUGCAAAGAAAUAUGCAGUAUUUGAGUCAACCAAUUUGAGCCAUUGCAUUCGAGACUUUUACUUAUAGAUGGACUCUUCAAUCAAGCUCCAUUUGGUCAAUUGUGCCCUCAUCUCGUUCUCUUCUUCUAUCAUGUGUUGUGGAAUAGGUGUAUUUUGCAUUUGAUUCUGUUUAGCCACAAGUGCUCUUCGUAUCUGCUGAACCUUUCCUGUGACCCCUGCAAACUCCUUUUUGCUUAAAUGUUGCAAUUCUCUUCUUACAAUCUUCAGAUUAUUCCACACCCCCUGCAUUCCUCCAUUUUGUCUCUGCCAGCUUGUCUGUAUUUUGGGUUUGAAAUCAGGGUGUUGUGCUAAGCAGUAAUAAAAUCUAAAUGGCUUCUUCCUUACGUCCCUUUGUGAUUCUACUUCCAUACUCAAAGGGGAGUGGUCUGAAAAGAGGAGGUCGAUCACCAUCACUUGUAAUGGUGGCAUUCUGAUUACCCAUUCAUCAUUCACCAGUGCUCUGUCUAUCCUGCUAAAUACAUGCCCAUUAUUCCAUGUAUAUUGUCUCCCUACUGUGUGUAGUUCUCUGAUAUUACUGUGAAUCAUGAAUUCUCUAAAAUCAUUGGUUUCUGCCAGUUGUACUUGACUCCCAAUGGGUCUAUCCUCUUAUGCCAAAAUUGAGUUAAAAUCUCCCAUGAUCAGCCAUGGUUUCCUGAUGUGUGUGCUCAGUUGGUUUACCUUUUCCCAUAAUGAGCUACUGGUAGCUAUGCUUUGCAAGCCAUAUACUGCUGUUAACAAAAAUUUAAAACCACUUUGUUGCAUAUCUACCAUGCAAUGUACAUAUUGAAUUGAUGAUUCCACCCUUGUGAAUUUGACCAUACUAUUUUCCAUACAAUCCAAUUUUUGCCUCUAACUUCAUUUGUAGCAUUUGUGCACCACAACAAUCCUGGCAUUAUUUUAUUGAUAAUACUCCCAACUUUCUCUUUUUUAACUCUAUGUUUGAAAAUUGCUAUAAUGGUUACUUUAUUCCUCUUAACAAACAACCUUAGCUCCUGGUGUUUGACUUUUUGUUGAACCCCCUAACAUUCCAGGCUGUUGUUUUUUUAAUAAAGAAAUUAAGAAAAUAAGAGACAAAGAUUUUGAGAGAAAAAUACUUCAGUAUUAUCAAAAGGAAUUAUUUUAUUAAUAAUCAAAAGACUUACAUUUAUAGAUAUAAUUUUUAACUAAAAAUAUAAAAAUAUGUUACUAACUUAUCAGUAAAAUUCAAAUCAUAUAUUAUUAUAAGCAUGAAGCUCAAAAUUUAAAAGUUGAAUUACUAUUUUGCCCCUCUAAUAAAUUAAAACUUUUAUAAUUUUCAUAUAUAUAAUCUUCUUAUUCUCAUUCCCUAAUCAUGAUCUUUCAAAUUUCUAACACAAAUGUAAAUAAAAUAAAAAUGAGUAAUUAUUCCUUAUAGACAAGAAAUUAAAGUAGAUUCAUGUAUCUUUAAAAUUAAAUUUCAUCUCUAUCUUUUUUAUAUUUAUUUUAACAAAGUAGAUUCAUGUAUCUUUAAAAUUAAAUUUCAUCUCUAUCUUUUUUAUAUUUAUUUUAACAAUAAUUCAUGUGACUUUUCAUGUUUCCAAAAUUUUGUUCUAUAAAUUUAACUUUUUCAAGAAAAACUUUUAUUUACCACUCCUACAAUUCUUGGUGUAGGAACUCUAAACAUGUGAAAUAAUGUCACAAUUUGUGGUGAAAGUUGUGAGAUUCCCUUCUGCAGUCACGAGAAUAGACAAGAAUUCAAUUACUGAAGCAUCGGAGCUCGAUGUGUUAGUUCUAUACUUAUUUGUAGUAAGAAUUAUAAUAAGACUUUUUUGUCUCUCUUCAUAUAGCUGAAUUCUUAUUUUAUUAGCAAAUUGCUCUAAAUUCAUAUUUGUAUUUUGUAUGCUCAAAUGUUCAGUUUCACUAUGGAGACAAAAAUAAAAUGAAAUGCCUAAUUAUCUUGCUCA